This 109-nucleotide transfer RNA is filed under the name Roseivirga sp. Its description in RNAcentral is "tRNA-OTHER". It matches the Rfam family "tRNA". From Rfam's summary of the family: Transfer RNA (tRNA) molecules are approximately 80 nucleotides in length. Lineage: Bacteria; Pseudomonadati; Bacteroidota; Cytophagia; Cytophagales; Roseivirgaceae. The record is from RNAcentral.
AGUGCUGUAGUUUAAUGGAUAAAACGGUCGCUUACGAGGUAACAUUGAUUCUUGACAAGUCGAUGCUACCGGCGAUUAGAUGCAGGUUCAAGUCCUGUCGGCACUCCCA